This 402-nucleotide long non-coding RNA is filed under the name Triticum aestivum (bread wheat). RNAcentral describes it as "long non-coding RNA (TAES_LNC015589)". Lineage: Eukaryota; Viridiplantae; Streptophyta; Magnoliopsida; Poales; Poaceae. The record is from RNAcentral.
AAUAUCCCCAAGACAAGAAUCAAAUAUCUUACCAAACAACAGUCUCAUAUCCCCAUUGACCUCAAGACCAACAUCAACAAUCUCAGGCAAUUCUCCGCAAAGCCACAUAAACUGUCUAAAAUCCAUAAUCCAUAAUGUUAUCUAAUCAAAUACAGAGAGGUCGGUCCAUGUCAUGCCUCUAGUUCUAUAACAUCAUCCACCAAUAUCCUCACAACAGAUUCAUGACCCCAAACAUGUCCUUUAACAAGGACAGUUAAUUAUUGGUCUGCGACAACGAACGGUACUUUGAAAGAUAACUAACAACCAACUGACUUGCGAGUACUAGUAGCUAAUAAGCGGCAAUAUGUUUCUCACUAGUCACUACCAAACCAAACACUAGUGUCACACGGCACCACCUGAUGU